CCCUUAGAUGUUCUGGGCCGCACGCGCGCUACACUGAUGCAUUCAACGAGUCUAAAACCUGGUCUGAGAGGGCUGGGUAAUCUUUUGAAAGUGCAUCGUGAUUGGGAUAGAUGAUUGCAAUUCUUCAUCCUCAACGAGGAAUGCCUAGUAAACGCAAGUCAUCAGCUUGCAUUGAUUACGUCCCUGCCCUUUGUACACACCGCCCGUCGCUCCUACCGAUUGAACGAUCCGAUGAAAACUGUGGAUUGAGAGUCUGAGUGGGUUCGCCUACCUCAACUUUCGAGAAGCGGUUUAAAUCUUAUCGUUUAGAGGAAGGAGAAGUCGUAACA
This 329-nucleotide ribosomal RNA is filed under the name uncultured eukaryote. RNAcentral describes it as "partial 18S ribosomal RNA". It matches the Rfam family "Eukaryotic small subunit ribosomal RNA", at positions 1470 to 1796 of the family's 1831-position model. The record is from RNAcentral.